This 472-nucleotide ribosomal RNA is filed under the name uncultured bacterium. RNAcentral describes it as "bacterial SSU rRNA". It matches the Rfam family "Bacterial small subunit ribosomal RNA", at positions 328 to 792 of the family's 1533-position model. The record is from RNAcentral.
GGCCCAGACUCCUACGGGAGGCAGCAGUGGGGGAUAUUGCACAAUGGGCGAAAGCCUGAUGCAGCGACGCCGCGUGAGGGAUGAAGGUCUUCGGAUCGUAAACCUCUGUCAGCAGGGAAGAACGGUCACUGUGCUAAUCAGCAGUGAAUUGACGGUACCUGCAAAGGAAGCACCGGCUAACUACGUGCCAGCAGCCGCGGUAAUACGUAGGUGGCAAGCGUUGUCCGGAUUUACUGGGUGUAAAGGGCGUGCAGCCGGGAGUGCAAGUCAGAUGUGAAAUCCCGCGGCUCAACCGCGGAACUGCAUUUGAAACUGUGCUUCUUGAGUGCUGGAGAGGCAGACGGAAUUCCUAGUGUAGCGGUGAAAUGCGUAGAUAUUAGGAGGAACACCAGUGGCGAAGGCGGUCUGCUGGACAGUAACUGACGGUGAGGCGCGAAAGCGUGGGGAGCAAACAGGAUUAGAUACCCCAGUA